Hypoxylon fuscum is the source of this 108-nucleotide non-coding RNA. Lineage: Eukaryota; Fungi; Ascomycota; Sordariomycetes; Xylariales; Hypoxylaceae. The record is from the annotation of a GenBank genome assembly.
AGGUCGGUAGUGUAGUGGUAGCACGUUCCAUCAAUACGCAAUUUUAAGCAAACACCUCAUAUGAUGUUGGCGUUGGAAAAGUCGUAGGUUCAAAUCCUGCCUGGGCUA